CCAGGGUGAAGAAUAAAUAAUUCUUCACCCCGGUCGAUCGACCGAGCCAGACCAUGCCUCCAGCCAAGGCACCGUUUUGCGAUUGGGGAAAAGCUAGCCCACUGUCCCUCGCUGGAAAAUUAUAUUGAGGUUGAAGUAAUUUUACGUUUCAAGCAUUGACUCGAACACAACCCCACCUUCCUGUCCUUUUCUAAACUGCUGCAAACAAUUUUUGUUUUUUUAAAGAAGAAGAGUGGCGAACCGUAUCGGCAGUAUCGGUGGCGCACGGCGGUGCCAUGGGUAGGUGGGGCAGCUGCCUAGGUCUUGGGCGGCGCCGUGGUUGGUGAUGGCGUUGAAGUUUCAGCCCGUGCUGCUCGGUGGCAGUGGUGGCCUCGGCUGUGUGGUGAACUCUCUAGGUUCCUCGAGGCAGUGUUGCGGGGCUGCACCGCUCUACGCCGGCAAUAGCGGUCUACGACGGCGUCACGGUGAGCUCUCGACAUUCUGAUGCAUUGCCAAGAUUUAUGCCCCUGUAUUUCUCCUCCCUUUUCUCCCAAUCCAGAAUUCUACUUUCCCUAUGGAACUUAGGCGUAUUGACUUGCCAGAUGUGGCGGCUGCUAUGGUGCUAGGUUUUGGCCUUUCUCAGAUUCGGCGCAGGUUGUUGCAUCCAUACAUGAAGUUUUACUCGUUUCAAUUUGGCUGCACAAAUUUUAGUACGGGCCUUCACCGGAUUUGAUGUUGGGGACAAAUCAAGAGCUUCUGUUUAGAUCUAGCCUACAGAUGCUCCCAGUCCUCCUACUAAGCUCCUAUUUUCAAUAAAUAGUUUACAUUCGGCGGUUUGUGUCUGAUGAAUCCUUCGUUUUGAGUCCCCAUAUGUUGCAUGUUCUAAUAAAUAGCCAUGUUUCUUCUUUAUUAUGAAUAAACUCCAUCUUUUUUCCUUGGAGCUCCACUAUUUUGGAUGAAUUGGACUGUCCCCUGCUACUGAAAAGUACCAUGUCUGGCCAUUUAAACUUAGAAUCGAAUCGGGGUGCUGCUACUGUAUUAGGUUGACCAUCCAGUCAUUGUGAAUCUGCUCUGUUGCACAAGAAGGCAUAGUAAGAAACCGGGAAGGGUGGCACCCCAAUAAGAAGCACAAAUCAUUUAAGCCCAAGUAACCGUGAUCUCAAUGCACAAUAUCAUUGCCUUGCUGAUAGUGAGUAUAAUGUUUUGUCACUUCAGUUAGUCGAAACACUGCUAUUGGGGCUGAUCAUACCUUGAAUUGAUCAAAAUUUGAACCUUUCGGUUACCUCAUAUUGCUAAAGGACACAAAUGUGACUUUUAUUAAACUUUAAUCGUCGUCAUAAAAUUAUGGAUUUUCACUUUGACCGGAAGUUGUUGAGGAUAUCUGUGGAAGGCUUCAGAACUUUUCUCUAGGUGCAGUUCAGAACACUAGUGAGACAUGGUAGCAACUACAAAAAAUUUAGGAUGCAAGAUCACGUUUUCUAUUUCCAAUUCAUGGUGCAUUUGUAGCUCUUUGUCAACUCUAUGAAAGCACUGCAUACACCUGCAGUACACUGAACUUUUUUAGGUUUGGUUAUCAUUUUUUACAUUGUGCUUCAGUCGAGUAAUGAAUGGUUAAGUACCUAUUUAUUGCUACUUUUGAUCUGUUGAUACACACUGGACAGAAUGAUAUAGCUGGGCACGCUCCUAUUCUCUUUAUUCAGAAUGACAUCCAAUGAACUUGAGGUUACACUGGCAUUUGUGUGACUAACAGCUACUCCUUGGAUGAUUACGUGUUUCAGAAUGAAGAUGCUUGAUUAUGUGCUUCAGAAUGAAGAUGCAUGAUUAUGUGCUUCAGGAGCUGCUAGUCGUACCAUAGAAGCAAUUAAUGAACCUCUUCUCGCUAUUUUAAUUUCAAGUGCAAUAAUCUGCUGGAGGUGUUUUCCAUUCAGACAAGUGAAGUUUUGCACCCUGCAAAUGUGCAGAUGUAUUCUGGAAGAAGAAAAGCAUACCCAGUAAGAUGCAAUCCUUGCCAUCUUACUGAGCAAGUUCAUUCAUAUUAUUUUUAGGUCCUCCUUGACAAUGUAUUUGAUCAAUUGUCUAAAGAAUUCCUGGAUUGUCAGAGUAAAAUAAAGUACGUUCAGAAUACUGUUCUUGAUUCAGUAAAAACAAUUACCUAGUUUAACCCGAGCUAUUGUGUUGAAGAACAUACACUGACAAUAAGGAUUGAACUUCUCACAAUGGUAAUGAUGAGUGUGCAAGGACUAUUAAGGUCAUAUAGGUCUAAUUAAAAUUAUCACAGAAAGGAGAGGCGGAAGCUGAGCUCCGCUCUUUUUCUGUCCAGGAGAGAAGUGUUUUUCUCCUUAAAACCUGCACUUCUUAUUGGUUUUAUAGGAAAAAAAAUCUAUGGCUCUAUUGAUUGUAGGUUGUUUAGUAGUGCACUACUAGUACCAUGCCAUACCAUUGGUUUGGACUGAUCGAAGGCAAGUUAAAGGUCAGUUAGAUAAAUGCCGCUACUGUACUCGCACAUCUUAUAUGUCAUUUAGAUUUGUACACACUUUGUAAAAGUGUGACUUCUGUAGGAAAACUCUUCAAUCUGACGUUGUUGUUCAACAGGUCGUAGAGAACAAAGUAGUCAGGCUUCGACCAGAUGUCCAACACCUCCAGAACCUUGAUUGUUGUCUUUCAAAAAGAAACUUGAUUGGUUAUCGUACAUGCCUAAACUCUAUUCUAGAAAGUAGUGCAUGUAAUCAUUAGUUCUAUGAGAGUAUGGAGAUUGAAUUUGCUAUAUUGCAGUCUGGAGCAUACUUCUUUCCAUGUGCAUAUAGGCUUUAUGUGAUUAAUCACCCUAUCACAAGUUCUUCUAGUAUUUGGAUGAAUCCUCUAAGAUAAUUCUGAUUUAAGUAAAUAUCAUCAAUCCACCUAAUGGGAGAAGCUUUAUAUUUAGUUCGAUCAAAACAUUUUCUUUGAAUCUACUUGCCUUAAUCUACUAUCUUUUUACAGUAACAUUCCGACCUAUAUCUGAGAAUUUUGUAGCUUCUUUAUUUCAACAGUAAUGAUUCACUAAGCUCUUAUCUUACCACAUGUUCCAUUUUAUUCUCCGCAUUUUAGAUAUAGCACCCCCUAUUCACCAAGCUCCUAGCACCCUGUGUUUUUAGAUCAAGCCAUUCUUCCGCAAAAAAUAAUUGAUUUGUUGGUCUGAAACCAAAAUAUUUUUGAAAGAAACUAAAUUGUACUACUACUAUCUGCUCAUUUUCUACAAUCUACACUACUACAGCAGGUGGUACAUGCCAGAGAACAUAUUGUUUAUACCUUGAAUCACGUGCUGUUAUUUUCGUUCGUAGCAUUCAUGAUUUGAGUCUCUAUAAAGGUAUCUGAAAGACUAAAAGAGAACAUAUUUUUGAUAAAUGAUGCGUAAUGCCAGAACAGUUGCACACUUGCUUCCUAUACUAAUCAGUUUUUACACUGUAGGUCGCUCAUCUGUAAGUACCCUGAUAACAGUAGACUGAUAUUAAUACAUUUGAAAAUAUGGAAACACACAAAGAUCUUUGACAGCACAGUUAUGCUGAGAGGAGUUUCAAUCUAGGAGAGCUGCAGGCGGGUUGUCUUCUUUCUGAAUCAUAUUUUUGUUGCUUUCUCCCUACUCGGACUGUAUUGGAGUUCUCUCUGGAGUGUUGUGUAAUCAGCUCUGAGGUCAUGAGUAGAGUCCCAGUUCUGUUUUUCUCAAGAGCUGACCUUGUAAAUACUAGCUCCAUGUUUCUUAGAGAUUAUCUAUAAAUUAUUCCCUCUAUUUCAUAUAGUUCAGCGAUAGGCCCUUUGAGGUAAAACUACUCCAUAUAUAUUAAAGAAGUCAAUGUGAGGUUAUUGGAAAUUUCAGUCACUAGUCGAGGAAGAAACUUUUGAAUAAUCGAGGAUGCAAUUCCAUAAAUGGCACCUCCAAAUAAAUUUCCAAAUGAGAAUUUACUACAUCAAAUCCAUGGCGCCUAAUGAACAGGUCUAGAUUAAAAUAGAGGAAAAGGAGAGAGUAUGAAUCACUAUCUAGUUGUUUUUCAUGAAGCAGAAAAUAUCUUUUUAAAGAAGACAAUCAGAUGCAGAUAGAAAGGGUCUUGCGAUGCAUGGAGCUCGUGCAGAUAGAGGUAGUAUAGCCUGCGAGGUAAAUUUACCUCGCGAACCUAUUAUUUCUUUCAGCAGCUGAAUUUGCAUGCGUGAGGAAAAUUUACCUCACAAGCCUUGCUUCUUACGGCAGUGCUCCAUAGUACGUUCCUUUCUCCCUGUUGUAAUCUUACAUCGGGUGUUUUUAUUUCUUACGUUUUAAAGUUCUGGCCGUGGGGUGGCUGGGGUGAGGAAUAAUAAUUCCUCACCCAGGGUAACGCUAUUCUAAGCAUGAAUGUAGAAUAGCUUAUUCUACACCCGCUAGUAACGCUAUGUACAAAAUCUAGUAAAACGGUGUAUAAAAUAUACUAAUUUGAAAAAAAAAUUAUCAUCCAAGUUUGUAAUUUACUACAUUUUUACGAAAAUUACUAUAUUUUAUAUAGUGUGUUGCUGUAUUUUGUAUGUAUCGUUACUGGGGUGUAGAAUAAGCUAUUCUACACUCACGCUUAGUUUAGCGUUACUAUAUAUAUCCCGAUCUCUCCAACAUAUAGAGCUUGCCAAAGGAAAAAGUAUAAAAAGGAAAGGUGAUGAUCACCAUGACUCUUGUAUAAGGGUAGAAGAUAAAAGUAAAAGAUAGGCCCUUCGCAGAGGGAAGCAGAGGUUGUCAUGCGCUUUUGUGGUUGGAUGCACAAAAUCAUAAUGCAAAAAACGUCACUUUAUAUUGCCGCUUGUGAUAAGGACAUUUAUUAUGCAAUCUGUUGUUUUUAUUUCUUCCAUAUCACAAGUUCAUACAAAGCUUAUUUCCUUCACACUAAUAGAUCAUACAUAUUUAGAGAGCAAUUUUUAUUACUUGCACCGAUGACAACUUACUUGAAGGAUCUUACUCAAUCCAUAGGUAGAUAUGGUGGACUCUCAUGGAAAAACUGGGUUUAGGGAUGUUUGGAAGCACAAGUAGUAUCUCUACUUGGUGCAAGGAAUUUGGCUAGUAUGAGAGGGAAAGGCAAGCUCAACAUGUUAGAUGAUCCAUGACUAUAUUACUUAUAUUUGGAUAUAAGAAAAAUAUAACCUAUUAUGUUGUCUUCCUUGUCCACCAUCAACUUUUUAGCAUGUCAUAUUUUAAUGAGUGCUCACAAUUACAAAAGAUGUCCAAGAUAGUAUAUCUAUAUGUGAAGCCUCUGUUUCUUUAUUACUUCUUAUUAAUUGCAAUAAUGACCAAAACUAUGUUUGUCAACUCUCAACAACUUUUAUUCAAUAUACUCUUUAUAUGUGAAGUCAUUACUUUCCAUAAGAUCAAUAUAUGACCUUUUUAUUUAUUCUUUCUAUUAUUUAAUUCCCUCAAGAUCAUAGCAAGAAAGAAAAGCCCUCAACUCAAAACUACUCUUUAUUAUAUAUUUCACGGACUGGAUUACAUAGAGGGAACAUAAAGCAAAAAUCAAGGCUAGAUCAUACUAAAACUUUAUUCUACUAGAUCAAGAUAUAACCAAAAGGAUCGAACUAAGGAAAACAAUAAAGAUAAAGAUGUGAUGGUGAUACGAUACUGGGUGAUACGUCCAUUUUGCAUCAUGUUCUCUUACUGUUAUUUAUAAUGUUUUUAUCCAUAAUAAUGCUUUUUAGAGUAAUUUUAAUGCCCUUUCUCUCAUAAUUUACAAGGUACACAUAAAGAGGGAGAAUUUUGGCAGCUGGAAAUCUGGAGCUAAAAAAGCUACGUCAGG
RNAcentral lists this long non-coding RNA (5759 nucleotides) under Triticum aestivum (bread wheat). RNAcentral describes it as "long non-coding RNA (TAES_LNC025380)". The record is from RNAcentral. Lineage: Eukaryota; Viridiplantae; Streptophyta; Magnoliopsida; Poales; Poaceae.